GCCCAGACUCCUACGGGAGGCAGCAGUGGGGAAUAUUGCACAAUGGGGGAAACCCUGAUGCAGCGACGCCGCGUGAAGGAUGAAGUAUUUCGGUAUGUAAACUUCUAUCAGCAGGGAAGAAAAUGACGGUACCUGACUAAGAAGCCCCGGCUAACUACGUGCCAGCAGCCGCGGUAAUACGUAGGGGGCAAGCGUUAUCCGGAUUCACUGGGUGUAAAGGGAGCGUAGACGGCCAUGCAAGCCUGGAGUGAAAGCCCGGGGCCCAACCCCGGGACUGCUCUGGGAACUGUGCGGCUGGAGUGCGGGAGGGGCAGGCGGAAUUCCUGGUGUAGCGGUGAAAUGCGUAGAUAUCAGGAGGAACACCGGCGGCGAAGGCGGCCUGCUGGACCGCGACUGACGUUGAGGCUCGAAAGCGUGGGGAGCAAACAGGAUUAGAUACCCCUGUA
This 446-nucleotide ribosomal RNA is filed under the name uncultured bacterium. Its description in RNAcentral is "bacterial SSU rRNA". It matches the Rfam family "Bacterial small subunit ribosomal RNA", at positions 329 to 792 of the family's 1533-position model. The record is from RNAcentral.